CCGCAAGGCUAAAACCCAAAGGAAUUGACGGGGGCUUACACAAGCGGUGGAGCAUGUGGUUUAAUUCGAAACAACGCGCAAAACCUUACCAAUCCUUGACAUAUGAAAAACCAGGGUGUUUACCCGCUCUGUCUCUUUUAUACAGGUGCUGCAUGGCUGUCGUCAGUUCGUGGUGUGAGUUGUUGGGUUAAGUCCCAGAACGAACGCAACCCUCCUUUGAAAUGAAGGUUUACCUUUUUCAAAGACUGCCAAGGAUAUCUUGGAGGAAGGUGAGGAUGACGUCAAGUCCGCAUGGCCCUUAUGGGUUGGGCUACACACGUGCUACAAUGGGAAUGACAAAAGGAGGCAACAUGGCAACAUUGAGCAAAUCCCAAAAAGUUUCCUUAGUUCGGAUUGUUCUCUGCAACUCGAGAACAUGAAGUUGGAAUCGCUAGUAAUCGUAGAUCAGCACGCUACGGUGAAUUUGUAUCUAAGCCUUGUACACACCGCCCGUCACACUCUGAAAAUUUUCAUGCCUUGAAGCAAAAGAAGCUCACCAAGAACACACAGCGCAAUUAAAAAAAAACAUCUUCCCUUUUUUUUCUGUGUCUUUGUUGGAACCUUUUCUAGAGUUAGGGAGGUGAUUGGAGUG
RNAcentral lists this ribosomal RNA (631 nucleotides) under uncultured picoeukaryote. Its description in RNAcentral is "partial 16S ribosomal RNA". It matches the Rfam family "Bacterial small subunit ribosomal RNA", at positions 886 to 1482 of the family's 1533-position model. The record is from RNAcentral.